AACGGUCCUAAGGUAGCGAAAUUCCUUGUCGGGUAAGUUCCGACCCGCACGAAAGGCGUAACGAUUUGGGCACUGUCUCAACAACAGACUCGGUGAAAUUGUAAUUCCGGUGAAGAUGCCGGAUACCUGCGACAGGACGGAAAGACCCCAUGGAGCUUUACUGUAGCUUGACCUUGGGUCUUGGUACUACAUGUACAGGAUAGGUGGGAGGCUUUGAAACCAGGACGCCAGUUUUGGCGGAGCCAUCCUUGGGAUACCACCCUUGUAGUACUGGGACUCUAACCAUAGGCCAUGAAUCUGGUCUUGGGACACUGUCAGGUGGGCAGUUUGACUGGGGCGGUCGCCUCCCAAAAGG
RNAcentral lists this ribosomal RNA (355 nucleotides) under Clostridioides difficile. RNAcentral's name for it is "bacterial LSU rRNA". It matches the Rfam family "Bacterial large subunit ribosomal RNA", at positions 1944 to 2297 of the family's 2925-position model. The record is from RNAcentral. Lineage: Bacteria; Bacillati; Bacillota; Clostridia; Peptostreptococcales; Peptostreptococcaceae.